GAUGAACGCUGGCGGCGUGCCUAAUACAUGCAAGUCGAGCGAACAGACGAGGAGCUUGCUCCUCUGACGUUAGCGGCGGACGGGUGAGUAACACGUGGAUAACCUACCUAUAAGACUGGGAUAACUUCGGGAAACCGGAGCUAAUACCGGAUAAUAUAUUGAACCGCAUGGUUCAAUAGUGAAAGACGGUUUUGCUGUCACUCAUAGAUGGAUCCGCGCCGCAUUAGCUAGUUGGUAAGGUAACGGCUUACCAAGGCCACGAUGCGUAGCCGACCUGAGAGGGUGAUCGGCCACACUGGAACUGAGACACGGUCCAGACUCCUACGGGAGGCAGCAGUAGGGAAUCUUCCGCAAUGGGCGAAAGCUUGACGGAGCAACGCCGCGUGAGUGAUGAAGGUCUUCGGAUCGUAAAACUCUGUUAUUAGGGAAGAACAAAUGUGUAAGUAACUAUGCACGUCUUGACGGUACCUAAUCAGAAAGCCACGGCUAACUACGUG
RNAcentral lists this ribosomal RNA (497 nucleotides) under uncultured bacterium. RNAcentral's name for it is "partial 16S ribosomal RNA". It matches the Rfam family "Bacterial small subunit ribosomal RNA", at positions 28 to 507 of the family's 1533-position model. The record is from RNAcentral.